GGGGAUAUAGCUCAGUUGGUAGAGUGCUUGCCUUUCAUGCACAAGGCCCUGGGUUCUAAUCCCAGCACCACCA
This 73-nucleotide transfer RNA is filed under the name Ictidomys tridecemlineatus (thirteen-lined ground squirrel). RNAcentral's name for it is "Spermophilus tridecemlineatus (thirteen-lined ground squirrel) tRNA". It matches the Rfam family "tRNA". Rfam says of the family: Transfer RNA (tRNA) molecules are approximately 80 nucleotides in length. Lineage: Eukaryota; Metazoa; Chordata; Mammalia; Rodentia; Sciuridae. The record is from Rfam by way of RNAcentral.